This 247-nucleotide ribosomal RNA is filed under the name uncultured bacterium. RNAcentral describes it as "partial 16S ribosomal RNA". It matches the Rfam family "Bacterial small subunit ribosomal RNA", at positions 86 to 334 of the family's 1533-position model. The record is from RNAcentral.
AGAUGGCGACCGGCGCACGGGUGAGUAACACGUAUCCAACCUGCCGAUAACUCGGGGAUAGCCUUUCGAAAGAAAGAUUAAUACCCGAUGGUAUAAUCAGACCGCAUGGUCUUGUUAUUAAAGAAUUUCGGUUAUCGAUGGGGAUGCGUUCCAUUAGGCAGUUGGUGAGGUAACGGCUCACCAAACCUUCGAUGGAUAGGGGUUCUGAGAGGAAGGUCCCCCACAUUGGAACAGAGACACGGUCCAA